UGUAGCUCAGUGGUACAGCACCUGCCUGGCAAGCAUGAAGCCCUGAGUUCGAUUCCUGGUA
This 61-nucleotide transfer RNA is filed under the name Heterocephalus glaber (naked mole-rat). It matches the Rfam family "tRNA", at positions 6 to 65 of the family's 71-position model. Rfam says of the family: Transfer RNA (tRNA) molecules are approximately 80 nucleotides in length. Their secondary structure includes four short double-helical elements and three loops (D, anti-codon, and T loops). Further hydrogen bonds mediate the characteristic L-shaped molecular structure. tRNAs have two regions of fundamental functional importance: the anti-codon, which is responsible for specific mRNA codon recognition, and the 3' end, to which the tRNAs corresponding amino acid is attached (by aminoacyl-tRNA synthetases). tRNAs cope with the degeneracy of the genetic code in two manners: having more than one tRNA (with a specific anti-codon) for a particular amino acid; and 'wobble' base-pairing, i.e. permitting non-standard base-pairing at the 3rd anti-codon position. Lineage: Eukaryota; Metazoa; Chordata; Mammalia; Rodentia; Bathyergidae. The record is from Rfam by way of RNAcentral.